AGUGAACGCUGGCGGUAGGCCUAACACAUGCAAGUCGAACGGCAGCACAGUAAGAGCUUGCUCUUACGGGUGGCGGGUGGCGGACGGGUGAGGCAUACAUCGGAAUCUACUUUUUCGUGGGGGAUAACGUAGGGAAACUUACGCUAAUACCGCAUACGACCUACGGGUGAAAGCAGGGGAUCUUCGCACCUUGCGCGAUUGAAUGAGCCGAUGCCGGAUUAGCUAGUUGGCGGGGUAAAGGCCCACCAAGGCGACGAUCCGUAGCUGGUCUGAGAGGAUGAUCAGCCACACUGGAACUGAGACACGGUCCAGACUCCUACGGGAGGCAGCAGUGGGGAAUAUUGGACAAUGGGCGCAAGCCUGAUCCAGCCAUACCGCGUGGGGGAAGAAGGCCCUCGGGUUGUAAAGCCCUUUUGUUGGGAAAGAAAAGCAGGAGGUUAAUACCCCGCUGUUCUGACGGUACCCAAAGAAUAAGCACCGGCUAACUUCGUG
This 492-nucleotide ribosomal RNA is filed under the name uncultured bacterium. RNAcentral's name for it is "partial 16S ribosomal RNA". It matches the Rfam family "Bacterial small subunit ribosomal RNA", at positions 29 to 507 of the family's 1533-position model. The record is from RNAcentral.